UGGUGGAGUGAUUUGUCUGGUUAAUUCCGAUAACGAACGAGACUCUGGCCUGCUAAAUAGUACGUCGGUAUUGGCACUCAGUAAUGGGUGUUCUAGCCGGCGCUGACUUCUUAGAGGGAUACGCAGUAUCCAAACUACAAGAAAUAGAGCAAUAACA
Molecule: ribosomal RNA, 157 nt
Filed under: uncultured eukaryote
Lineage: Eukaryota
Description: partial 18S ribosomal RNA
Rfam family: Eukaryotic small subunit ribosomal RNA
Source: RNAcentral